RNAcentral lists this ribosomal RNA (439 nucleotides) under uncultured bacterium. Its description in RNAcentral is "partial 16S ribosomal RNA". It matches the Rfam family "Bacterial small subunit ribosomal RNA", at positions 339 to 795 of the family's 1533-position model. The record is from RNAcentral.
CUACGGGAUGCAGCAGUGGGGAAUAUUGCACAAUGGAGGAAACUCUGAUGCAGCAACGCCGCGUGGAGGAUGACACUUUUCGGAGCGUAAACUCCUUUUAUAUAGGAAGAAGAUGACGGUACUAUAUGAAUAAGCGCCGGCUAACUCCGUGCCAGCAGCCGCGGUAAUACGGAGGGCGCAAGCGUUACUCGGAAUCACUGGGCGUAAAGAGCGUGUAGGCGGAUUAAAAAGUCAGAAGUGAAAUCCUAUAGCUUAACUAUAGAACUGCUUCUGAAACUCUUAAUCUAGAAUAUGGGAGAGGUAGAUGGAAUUUCUGGUGUAGGGGUAAAAUCCGUAGAGAUCAGAAGGAAUACCGAUUGCGAAGGCGAUCCACUAGUACAUUAUUGACGCUGAGACGCGAAAGCGUGGGGAGCAAACAGGAUUAGAUACCCGCGUAGUC